GAUGAACGCUGGCGGUAUGCUUAACACAUGCAAGUCGAACGGACUCUUCGGAGUUAGUGGCGGACGGGUGAGUAACGCGUGAGAAUCUGGCUUUGGGUUCGGGACAACCACUGGAAACGGUGGCUAAUACCAGAUGUGCCGUGAUGUAAAAGAGAAAUUCCCUGAAGAUGAGCUCGCGUCUGAUUAGCUAGUUGGUGAGGUAAAGGCCCAACAAGGCAGCGAGAAGUAGCAGGUCUGAGAGGAUGACCAGCCACACUGGGAAUGAGACACGGCCCAGACGAAUACGCGGGGAAGCAGGGGGGAAUGGUGCGCAAAGGGCGAAUGCGUGACGGAGCACUACCGCGCGAGGGAAGAAGGCUCUUGGGUUGUAAACCUCUUUUCUUAGGGAAGAACAAAAUGACGGUACCUAAGGAAUCAGCAUCGGCUAACUACGUG
This 435-nucleotide ribosomal RNA is filed under the name uncultured bacterium. Its description in RNAcentral is "partial 16S ribosomal RNA". It matches the Rfam family "Bacterial small subunit ribosomal RNA", at positions 28 to 507 of the family's 1533-position model. The record is from RNAcentral.